GAGCGAACAGAUAAGGAGCUUGCUCCUUUGACGUUAGCGGCGGACGGGUGAGUAACACGUGGGUAACCUACCUAUAAGACUGGAAUAACUCCGGGAAACCGGGGCUAAUGCCGGAUAACAUAUAGAACCGCAUGGUUCUAUAGUGAAAGAUGGUUUUGCUAUCACUUAUAGAUGGACCCGCGCCGUAUUAGCUAGUUGGUAAGGUAAUGGCUUACCAAGGCGACGAUACGUAGCCGACCUGAGAGGGUGAUCGGCCACACUGGAACUGAGACACGGUCCAGACUCCUACGGGAGGCAGCAGUAGGGAAUCUUCCGCAAUGGGCGAAAGCCUGACGGAGCAACGCCGCGUGAGUGAUGAAGGGUUUCGGCUCGUAAAACUCUGUUAUUAGGGAAGAACAUAUGUGUAAGUAACUGUGCACAUCUUGACGGUACCUAAUCAGAAAGCCACGGCUAACUACGUGCCAGCAGCCGCGGUAAUACGUAGGUGGCAAGCGUUAUCCGGAAUUAUUGGGCGUAAAGCGCGCGUAGGCGGUUUCUUAAGUCUGAUGUGAAAGCCCACGGCUCAACCGUGGAGGGUCAUUGGAAACUGGGAAACUUGAGUGCAGAAGAGGAAAGUGGAAUUCCAUGUGUAGCGGUGAAAUGCGCAGAGAUAUGGAGGAACACCAGUGGCGAAGGCGACUUUCUGGUCUGUAACUGACGCUGAUGUGCGAAA
RNAcentral lists this ribosomal RNA (712 nucleotides) under Staphylococcus gallinarum. RNAcentral describes it as "bacterial SSU rRNA". It matches the Rfam family "Bacterial small subunit ribosomal RNA", at positions 64 to 758 of the family's 1533-position model. The record is from RNAcentral. Lineage: Bacteria; Bacillati; Bacillota; Bacilli; Caryophanales; Staphylococcaceae.